This 652-nucleotide ribosomal RNA is filed under the name Gloeoporus pannocinctus. RNAcentral's name for it is "eukaryotic LSU rRNA". The record is from RNAcentral. Lineage: Eukaryota; Fungi; Basidiomycota; Agaricomycetes; Polyporales; Irpicaceae.
GAGGAAGUAAAAGUCGUAACAAGGUUUCCGUAGGUGAACCUGCGGAAGGAUCAUUAACGAGUUCUUGAACAGGUUGUCGCUGGCCCUUUACAGGGUAUGUGCACACCUGGCUCAAUUUCCACUCUUAACCUCUGUGCACUCUUUGUAGGUCGGUUGAUGCUGGCGCAAGUCAGUUUGAAGCCUUCCUAUGUUUUAUUACAAACGCUUCAGUUAUAGAAUGUUUACUUUGCUAUAACGCAAAUAUAUACAACUUUCAGCAACGGAUCUCUUGGCUCUCGCAUCGAUGAAGAACGCAGCGAAAUGCGAUAAGUAAUGUGAAUUGCAGAAUUCAGUGAAUCAUCGAAUCUUUGAACGCACCUUGCGCCCCUUGGUAUUCCGAGGGGCAUGCCUGUUUGAGUGUCAUGGAAUUCUCAUCCCCUAAAKUUAUUUUUGGUGGGCUUGGAUGUGGAGGUUGUGCCGGUUUGUUAAAAGCCGGCUCCUCUGAAAUGCAUUAGUGUGAAUCUUACUGAUCGCCUUCAGUGUGAUAAUUGUCUACGCUGUGGUUGUGAAGUAAAUUAAUGUUCAUGCUUCUAAUCGUCUCUUUUUGAGACAAUUACUUUGACAUCUGACCUCAAAUCAGGUAGGACUACCCGCUGAACUUAAGCAUAUCAAU